AUUGCCUACGGGGGGCAGCAGUGAGGAAUAUUGGUCAAUGGGCGGGAGCCUGAACCAGCCAAGUCGCGUGAGGGACGACGGUCCUAUGGAUUGUAAACCUCUUUUGUCGGGGAACAAAGGCGCCCACGGGUGGGCGGAUGAGUGUACCCGAAGAAAAAGCAUCGGCUAACUCCGUGCCAGCAGCCGAGGUAAUACGGAGGAUGCGAGCGUUAUCCGGAUUUAUUGGGUUUAAAGGGUGCGUAGGCGGGCGGUCAAGUCAGAGGUAAAAAUGCGGUGCUUAACGCCGUACAGCAGUUG
RNAcentral lists this ribosomal RNA (297 nucleotides) under uncultured bacterium. RNAcentral describes it as "partial 16S ribosomal RNA". It matches the Rfam family "Bacterial small subunit ribosomal RNA", at positions 334 to 629 of the family's 1533-position model. The record is from RNAcentral.